CCUACGGGGGGCAGCAGUGAGGAAUAUUGGUCAAUGGACGAGAGUCUGAACCAGCCAAGUAGCGUGAAGGAUGACUGCCCUAUGGGUUGUAAACUUCUUUUAUAUGGGAAUAAAAUGUUCCACGUGUGGGAUUUUGUAUGUACCAUAUGAAUAAGGAUCGGCUAACUCCGUGCCAGCAGCCGCGGUAAUACGGAGGAUCCGAGCGUUAUCCGGUUUUAUUGGGUUUAAAGGGAGCGUAGGUGGAUUGUUAAGUCAGUUGUGAAAGUUUGCGGCUCAACCGUAAAAUUGCAGUUGAAACUGGCAGUCUUGAGUACAGUAGAGGUGGGCGGAAGUCGUGGUGUAGCGGUGAAAUGCUUAGAUAUCACGAAGAACUCCGAUUGCGAAGGCAGUUCACUGGACUGCAACUGACACUGAGGCUCGAAAGUGUGGGUAUCAAACAGGAUUAGAUACCCUUGUAGUC
RNAcentral lists this ribosomal RNA (460 nucleotides) under uncultured bacterium. RNAcentral describes it as "partial 16S ribosomal RNA". It matches the Rfam family "Bacterial small subunit ribosomal RNA", at positions 338 to 795 of the family's 1533-position model. The record is from RNAcentral.